This 541-nucleotide ribosomal RNA is filed under the name uncultured bacterium. RNAcentral describes it as "bacterial LSU rRNA". It matches the Rfam family "Bacterial large subunit ribosomal RNA", at positions 37 to 482 of the family's 2925-position model. The record is from RNAcentral.
CUUGGCGCCAGGAGGCGAAGAAGGACGCGACAGGCUGCGAUAAGCUGCGGGGAGCCGCCAAAUAGGCACCGAUCCGCAGAUCUCCGAAUGGGACAACCCGGCUGGGGGUCAUACUCCAGUAUCCGCCGGUAAAUUCAUAGCCGGCGGAGGCCAAACCGAGGGGAGUGAAACAUCUCAGUACCUCGAGGAAUAUAAAGCAACCGCGAUUUCCCAAGUAGCGGCGAGCGAACGGGAACAAGCCUAAACCGGACAGGUGCGAUACCUCGUGAGGGUUAUCUGACCGGUGUCGCGGGAGCGGCCGUGAGCUGUCACGAAAGCUCGGACGAGUUACAAAGCUCGACACUAACUGAAGAGGGGACUGGAAAAGUCCCGCCGUAGAGGGUGAUAGCCCCGUAAGUGAAAGUGUGCGAGUCUCGUCUGGCCGUUUCCCAAGUAAGGCGGGUCACGUGGAAGCCCGCUUGAAUCCGGGUGGAACCAUCAUCCACAUCGUGCGACCAGGCGUUGGGUUGGACGGCGACAGCGCCACUCACGUGAGCGAGGC